GCUUUCAUGGUGUAGUGGUCAGCACGCUCGGCGCGUGUUGGAGAGGUCCGUGGUUCGAUUCCCGGUGAGGGCA
Molecule: transfer RNA, 73 nt
Filed under: Stegodyphus mimosarum
Lineage: Eukaryota; Metazoa; Arthropoda; Arachnida; Araneae; Eresidae
Rfam family: tRNA
About the family: Transfer RNA (tRNA) molecules are approximately 80 nucleotides in length. Their secondary structure includes four short double-helical elements and three loops (D, anti-codon, and T loops). Further hydrogen bonds mediate the characteristic L-shaped molecular structure. tRNAs have two regions of fundamental functional importance: the anti-codon, which is responsible for specific mRNA codon recognition, and the 3' end, to which the tRNAs corresponding amino acid is attached (by aminoacyl-tRNA synthetases). tRNAs cope with the degeneracy of the genetic code in two manners: having more than one tRNA (with a specific anti-codon) for a particular amino acid; and 'wobble' base-pairing, i.e. permitting non-standard base-pairing at the 3rd anti-codon position.
Source: Rfam by way of RNAcentral